Non-coding RNA from Chthoniobacter flavus Ellin428, 119 nucleotides. Lineage: Bacteria; Pseudomonadati; Verrucomicrobiota; Spartobacteria; Chthoniobacterales; Chthoniobacteraceae. The record is from Rfam.
GGAAAACGAACUGGCAGCGAGGCCGGGCGUGGGCGACGAGCGUGCGAGCAACCGCGAAGUCCGAAGUCCAUCCAGACACGUCAGGUAGAGCCAGGCGGCGCGGAGGGAGAGUUCAGGUU